GACGAACGCUGGCGGCGUGCUUAACACAUGCAAGUCGAACGGAAAGGCCUGCUUUCCCUUGUGGAUUGCGGGUACUCGAGUGGCGAACGGGUGAGUAACACGUGAGUGAUCUGCCCCCAACUUGGGUAUAAGCCUGGGAAACUGGGUCUAAUUCCCGAUAGGACUGCAGGGUGGUGCCUGUGGUGGAAAACGAUUUUCUAGUGGUUGGGGAUGAGCUCGCGGCCUAUCAGCUUGUUGGUGGGGUAAUGGCCUACCAAGGCGGCGACGGGUAGCCGGCCUGGGAGCGGGGACAGACACAGUGGGACGGAGACACGACCAGGACGCGAGGGGGAGGCAGCGGGGGGGAAGAUAGGACAGGGGGCGGAAGCGUGAGGCGGCGAGGCGGGGUGGGGGGUGGCGGCCGGUGGGUUGUAAGCUCCUUGGGACGGCGAGAAAGCCACCUGGUUGGAAGGGUGGUGACGGUAGUGGAAGAAAAAGCACCGGCUAACUACGUG
Molecule: ribosomal RNA, 494 nt
Filed under: uncultured bacterium
Lineage: Bacteria
Description: partial 16S ribosomal RNA
Rfam family: Bacterial small subunit ribosomal RNA
Source: RNAcentral